This 483-nucleotide ribosomal RNA is filed under the name uncultured bacterium. Its description in RNAcentral is "partial 16S ribosomal RNA". It matches the Rfam family "Bacterial small subunit ribosomal RNA", at positions 30 to 507 of the family's 1533-position model. The record is from RNAcentral.
AUUGAACGCUGGCGGCAGGCCAACACAUGCAAGUCGAGCGGAUGAAGGGAGCUUGCUCCUGGAUUCAGCGGCGGACGGGUGAGUAAUGCCUAGGAAUCUGCCUGGUAGUGGGGGAUAACGUCCGGAAACGGGCGCUAAUACCGCAUACGUCCUGAGGGAGAAAGUGGGGGAUCUUCGGACCUCACGCUAUCAGAUGAGCCUAGGUCGGAUUAGCUAGUUGGUGGGGUAAAGGCCUACCAAGGCGACGAUCCGUAACUGGUCUGAGAGGAUGAUCAGUCACACUGGAACUGAGACACGGUCCAGACUCCUACGGGAGGCAGCAGUGGGGAAUAUUGGACAAUGGGCGAAAGCCUGAUCCAGCCAUGCCGCGUGUGUGAAGAAGGUCUUCGGAUUGUAAAGCACUUUAAGUUGGGAGGAAGGGCAGUAAGUUAAUACCUUGCUGUUUUGACGUUACCAACAGAAUAAGCACCGGCUAACUUCGUG